AUGUCAACAUUCGAUGUCUAUGGUAUGAAAAAUGUCAAUAACCAAAUAAGCUCAUCACACAUGUGUGUGGUCGGUCGAGGGAAGGACUUCAGUAGUCACAAUGCUGCAAUAGCUGGAUGGACGGUUAGCCCAUCCGAAUAUGGUGAUAGCAAAACACACUUCUUUACACGAUGGACGGUUGAUGGGUAUAAGUCAACCGGAUGCUAUGACUUGAAAUGCGAUGGUUUUGUGCCAGUACAAAAUGCGCCUACCACUCCAGGAGACACUCUAGACCACAAAAACGGAAAACUUAAGAUCACAAUCAAGAUAUUCAAGAAGAAAGAUGAUGGUGACUGGUGGUUGUACUUUGGUUAUGAUAAUCAAAGCCUUAGAGCUGUUGGAUUCUGGCCCAAAAGUAUCUUUAAUAAUAUGGCAGACCAUGCAAAUCUUGUAGAGUGGGGUGGUUACACCUUCUCCAAUUCCGGGAGUGCUAGUCCUGCAAUGGGCAGCGGCCACUGGCCUGGGAUACAUUCUGCAGUUGUUCGAGAUGUUAGAUUUGUUGAUGACACUGGUAGAGGCUACAAAAUUGAUCCAUGGCCCGGGGGCCUUUUUGCUUCUAUCUCCCACAAAAAAUGCUAUGGAGCCGUUCUAUCUGUAGACGAAAUGUUUUAUUAUGGCGGACCUGGUGGUUGUACUAUGUAG
Molecule: ribosomal RNA, 681 nt
Filed under: Triticum aestivum (bread wheat)
Lineage: Eukaryota; Viridiplantae; Streptophyta; Magnoliopsida; Poales; Poaceae
Description: partial small subunit ribosomal RNA
Source: RNAcentral